GACGAACGCUGGCGGCGUGCUUAACACAUGCCAGUCGAACGGAAAGGCCUCGUUCGGGGGGUGCGCGCGUGGGGAACGCGUGAGUAACACACGAGUGACAUGCGCUUGAGACUGGGGGAAAUUCAGGGGAAACGGGGGAAAAUAGGGGAUGGGCUCCUGCGGCGUGGGGGGGGGUGGGGAGUGUCGCGGCGGGGGGGGAUGCACGCGCGGUUUAAGAGCGUGUGGGGGGGGGAGUGGCUUACCAAGGUUUUGACGGGUAGCCGGCCUGAGAGGGUGAACGGCCACAUUGGGACUGAGAUACGGCCCAGACUCCUACGGGAGGCAGCAGUGGGGAAUAUUGCACAAUGGGUGGAAGCCUGAUGCAGCAACGCCGUGUGCGGGAUGACGGGCCUCGGGUUGUAAACCGCUUUCGCUCAUGACGAAGCUUUGUGUGACGGUAGUGGGUAAAGAAGCACCGGCUAACUACGUG
RNAcentral lists this ribosomal RNA (469 nucleotides) under uncultured bacterium. RNAcentral describes it as "partial 16S ribosomal RNA". It matches the Rfam family "Bacterial small subunit ribosomal RNA", at positions 28 to 507 of the family's 1533-position model. The record is from RNAcentral.